UGGGGAAUUUUGGACAAUGGGCGCAAGCCUGAUCCAGCAAUGCCGCGUGAGUGAAGAAGGCCUUCGGGUUGUAAAGCUCUUUUGUCAGGGAAGAAAAGGUAGAGGCUAAUAUCCUUUGCUAAUGACGGUACCUGAAGAAUAAGCACCGGCUAACUACGUGCCAGCAGCCGCGGUAAUACGUAGGGUGCAAGCGUUAAUCGGAAUUACUGGGCGUAAAGCGUGCGCAGGCGGUUUUGUAAGUCUGUCGUGAAAUCCCCGGGCUCAACCUGGGAAUUGCGAUGGAGACUGCAAGGCUAGAAUCUGGCAGAGGGGGGUAGAAUUCCACGUGUAGCAGUGAAAUGCGUAGAGAUGUGGAGGAACACCGAUGGCGAAGGCAGCCCCCUGGGUCAAGAUUGACGCUCAUGCACGAAAGCGUGGGGAGCAAACA
RNAcentral lists this ribosomal RNA (427 nucleotides) under uncultured bacterium. RNAcentral describes it as "partial 16S ribosomal RNA". It matches the Rfam family "Bacterial small subunit ribosomal RNA", at positions 355 to 774 of the family's 1533-position model. The record is from RNAcentral.